CGUAAAGUGCCGAGAUCCCGACGGAGUGCCGGGAAUUUCCGAAUUUCAAUUUUUACCGCGUGGCGAAGAGUGGAGAAGCCGAGGGAGAAGCAAGGAAGAAUUAAAAUGGAGGACAUUUUUUAUCAAUCUUUAUACCUUUAUUGGAAGGUAAUAUGCUUUAUUUAAUAUCAAACCUUGUAGUAGAGUACUUAGAUUGCCAAUAUACAUGGAAGUUUAAGACAUCGAGCCCUAAUUUAAUGCGAUAUUUCGACAUAAAGUUUGCUUUUGCUUUGCACGUGGUUCGAUUUAUGGGCGAUUGUCGAACUUUAAACCGUGUUUUUAUUCAUAACUAUUGUCGACCAAGUGAGUAAAAAGACUAACUAAGAUCUAGAAUUGUUUAAGCUGUCGAAAAGUUGUUGUCUAACUUUAUAUCUCUUAGUUCUUGCCGAAAAUUUUUUAAAUAUACAUUUUAUUGAUUCUUGCUUGCAAAACAAAGUUUAAUUAAUAAUUACAAAUAAAACUAAGUGAAAAUUGCUACAAUGAGGCAAAAGCCAGAAUUGUGUUUCUUUAGUGAAAAUCUAGGAGGUUUGGUCAUAGUUAGGUGGGGCAAGCUUCUCAGUAAGCGGGCUAGUAAAGUUUGUAGGCUGAGGGUGGUUUGAAAAAAGAUUGUUCUUUUGAGGUCUUUUGAAGCACAUUUAUGCACAUAUCAACGGCCUGCCCGGGGGGUACACCCCCGGGACAACCGGGGGGAAACGAGGGGGAAUUUGGUAUUUUAGCCGUGUAUUCUGCCCGUGAACCCCGGGGAAAUUACAAACUUCGCAAUAAUAGGACGACAGGGGGAGGGGAAGNNNNNNNNNNNNNNNNNNNNUGAAAUCUGAUCCAACUUGCUUGAAUUGUAACUCGACACCAGAUUAUAGAGUAGAACGUCACGACAUAUAUAUAAUUCAAGAGUUCUCUUUAUAAUUACGAUUUCUUGUUGCAAAUUUAACAGUAAAUUUCAUCACCCAAAGUUGCAAUUUUAAAACGCUACAAACACUCUCCUUUCCCACCCCUCUCACAGUUACAAUUAAAUUUACCUCCCAGAAUCUGGGAGGCACGUGACCAGCCGCAGCCAGGGUCUCUCCCAGAUGACAGACGGAGAGACCCUGGGAACGAGGUUGGAAAAAGAUUGUUCUUUUGAGGUCUUUUGAAGCACAUUUAUGCACAUAUCAACGGCCUGCCCGGGGGGUACACCCCCGGGACAACCGGGGGGAAACGAGGGGGAAUUUGGUAUUUUAGCCGUGUAUUCUGCCCGUGAACCCCGGGGAAAUUACAAACUUCGCAAUAAUAGGACGACAGGGGGAGGGGAAGUGGGGGACUUUGACAUGACAAUUUGAAUUUUAUAAAUGAAGUGAACAAUUGGUGCAAACUCAAAAUUGCAGGCUCACGAAGAAAAAUAUCGAUCGCCAACUUAUUAUUUAUGAUAUUUUGUAGUGGUCUUGCUAAAAUUUGAAUAAAUAAAUACAGAAUACAUGAGUGCCAUUGUGAUACCCCAGUUUGUAUGAUAAUUUCAGGGUGUUAGCCAGAAAAAAAACGUUUUGUCCGUUCAAUGUAAAUUGGGAAAUUUUUUUUUGACCGAUCAAAGUCCUUGUGUAGGAAUAAAUAGUGUUUUUUCCAACGUGUUUCUUCUUAGAUGCAAACAACAGUGGCUUGGUUUUUUCUAUUUCAUUUCCGGUGAAUGAACACGGAUGCACACCGAUGCAGGCACUUUGUUUUGUACAUUUCAUUUCAGUGAAUACCUCUAUGGUGAAUACACACCCAAUAUGAAUGAAACGUGAUACAUUUUGAGAAAAUAGUUAAUGGAAAAAGUAAAUAAAACGUUCUUUGAUAUAAUAAUAUAAAAUCAAAUGCAAUGCACUUUCUCAUCAGAAAAAAUGAAAAUCUUCCAGUAGACCCAGUUGGGAAAGCCCCUUAACUACUUCAAUUGGGAAGAGUCCGUCAAAUGGACGGACAGUAUAUGGGCUAGCUAACACCCUGAAUUUUUAAUUGUUUGUAUGCUAUUUAUAAUAUGAACUACUUUAUUCUAAGCCCCAGGGGGGAGGGCAGUUUGACUUACACAUUUCCCGGGGGAGGGAGGGGGAAUUAAUGCAUUAGAAUCAUGUUUUUUCAAAGUCCUGGGGUGUCCCGGGGGUGUACCCCCAGGGCAGGCCGUUGAUAUGUGCAUUACUCCAGGCUGAAAAAUGUGCACCAGUAGCAGUUGUUAAUCCUUUUUUGGACAUGGGCUGGCAAGGAUUCAGAGAAUGUUAAAAAAAUUAAAGGGACAGUACCGGGUAUUUGUUAAAUUUAAAAGCAUAUUACAGGUAAACUACGUGAAGCGUUCCUCUUUCGACUUCGUAACUCAUUUGGAAUUUUCCUCAUUAGCUUUGCAAAUUUGAAAAACUCUUUGCAAAUCCCUUGAGGGAAUUUGCAAUGUUCCUAUCGGCUGUUGCAAUAUUCCAAACUUCAUUUUAAAUUUUCCUAACUUCCUGUUUUAAUUUCCUAACUUCCUGUUCUGUUCUGAGCGUUGUUAUUUGUCGAUUAUUUUUGUUAGCCAAUUGCAACGCCCAGAACAGAACAGGAAAUUAGGAACUUGUAACAGGAAGUUAAGAACUUCUAACAGGAACUGAGGAAAUUUUUUUUGGCUUUUAGCAACAUUGCAAAUUCCCUCAAGGGAUUUGCAAGGGAGUUUUUUAAAUUGCAAAAGUAAUGAGGAAAAUUGCAAUCAAUUUCGAAACUCAAAAGAGGAACGCUUCACAUAGUUUACCUGUAACUCAAUUUAUUGGGACAGCAGAUGCCCAAAGUCGAAAUGAGGUUGAAAAAAAUUCCAAUCAAAUUUUAAUGUUUUCAAUUGGUUGGCAUUUUUCUGAUCAAUUUUGAACAUUACAAAAAAUAUGUGGUUCAGGUUUCAUAUCCUGAAAAAAGUAGGAUUGGUGGCUCGAUUGGAAUAAAACAAAUUUUCUUCAAAUAUUUUUUGGCUUUUGAGGGUCAGCAAUUGACCAUUUGCGUAAUAGACUAAAUUUUGAUCUAGACAAAACUUUCAUCACAGCUUGAAAGAGCAUCACAAAAUUAGUAAUAUUCCAAAGUUUCGUUCCAAAAUGUUGUAAAAUGCGGAAAAUAUAGCCUUGCGAAAUUUGCACUUUUCAGUCAUUUUAGAUUACAAACCGGAAAUUGACAGCCUCAAAGGGUUUGGGGCUGUCAAUUUCCCGUUUGUAAUCUAAAAUGACUGAAAAUUGCAAAUUUCGCAAGGCUAUAUUUUCCGCAUUUUACGACAUUUUGCAACGAAACUUUGGAAUAUUACUAAUUUUGUGAUGCUCCUUCAAGCUGUGAUGAAAUUUUUGUCUAGACUUGUUUAGUUCAAAAUUUAGUCUAUUACGCAAAUGGUCAAUUGCUGUGAUCAGUUUGCAUAUUGCCACAACAUAUAAACAUUUCAAGAAGCAGUAACUGUGGGCAACAGACAGUAUUUUUGUUACAUCACAGGUUAUUUAAGUUCAUCAUAAAGCAAACAACAAAAAAUAGGGUAGGCAGGUAAGCAAACAACCCACAUCUAGAAAAAAACAUUAGAGCAGAGAGAAUAGGGUUGUCUGGAAAACCAGCUAGAACCAUAGGAUAUUGUUUUGUUUCAGACUCCGAUAUUCAUAUAUUUGGGAUUUUCAUCUUGGUAGCCAAGCUAUUCACACCCUUGGUAAAAUUCUCAUAAUUUUGUGUAGAUGUACAGUGCAAGUUCCAAGAAUGUUGCAAGACUCAUGAUUCAAUAUGAAAAGUGGACACAUUCCAAGAUUCUGAAUUAGAGGUAAAUGAUUUUUCUUCUAAUUAUUUCUAACCUCCUUUAUUUCUUGGACAAUUUUCUUUGUAAUAUAUAUUAAUUUGUUUCAUGUUCUCAAUAGUGAGUUUUUUAAAUUUUCUAGACGUGUGUUGCAAUUUCAAAGAAUGUCUCAAGAUGUUGGCUGCAGUGUUUUUGAUCACAAAAAUGAACACUGUCAUUGGAAAGUAUAUAAAAGGUCCUAAUAUUUUCCUGUCUUAUCUUACAUGAAAUGUUUUGAACAUUAUAUGAUUGCCUGUGAUCAAUAGUUUCAAAAAUUCCAGCAUAUUAUUGUAAAAAUAGCUUGACUAUGUCACUUAUGACACAAAAUACAACAAAAGUAAUAAAUGCAAUCUUUACACCUAAAUAUGGUGAGUGCACAAUAAUUGCACUCUUUUUAUUCUAUUAUUACACCACUAU
RNAcentral lists this long non-coding RNA (4216 nucleotides) under Paramuricea clavata. Lineage: Eukaryota; Metazoa; Cnidaria; Anthozoa; Malacalcyonacea; Plexauridae. The record is from RNAcentral.